RNAcentral lists this ribosomal RNA (858 nucleotides) under Phyllosticta sp. DG-2022a. Its description in RNAcentral is "partial large subunit ribosomal RNA". It matches the Rfam family "Eukaryotic large subunit ribosomal RNA", at positions 77 to 952 of the family's 3401-position model. The record is from RNAcentral. Lineage: Eukaryota; Fungi; Ascomycota; Dothideomycetes; Botryosphaeriales; Phyllostictaceae.
GCCUCAGUAACGGCGAGUGAAGCGGCAACAGCUCAAAUUUGAAAGCUGGCGUCACCGACGUCCGCGUUGUAAUUUGUAGAGGAUGCUUCGGCGAAGACUCCCGCCUAAGUCCCCUGGAACGGGGCGUCACAGAGGGUGAGAAUCCCGUACGUGGCGGGCGGUCUGAGCCGUGUGAAGCUCCUUCGACGAGUCGAGUUGUUUGGGAAUGCAGCUCUAAACGGGAGGUAAAUUUCUUCUAAAGCUAAAACUGGCCAGAGACCGAUAGCGCACAAGUAGAGUGAUCGAAAGAUGAAAAGCACUUUGGAAAGAGAGUUAAAAAGUACGUGAAAUUGUUGAAAGGGAAGCGCUUGCAACCAGACUCGCCCGCAGUUGCUCAGCCGGCCUCUUGGCCGGUGCACUCCUCUGCGGUCGGGCCAGCAUCGGUUCGGGCGGCCGGACAAAGGCGUCGGGAACGUAGCACCCUUCGGGGUGUGUUAUAGCCCGUCGCGGAAUGCGGCCAGCCUGGACCGAGGAUCUCGCUCCGGCAAGGAUGCUGGCGUAAUGGUUGUAAGCGGCCCGUCUUGAAACACGGACCAAGGAGUCUAACAUCUAUGCGAGUGCUCGGGUGUCAAACCCGUGCGCGUAAUGAAAGUGAACGGAGGUGGGAACCCUUCUCGGGGCGCACCAUCGACCGAUCCUGAUGUCUUCGGAUGGAUUUGAGUAAGAGCAUGGCUGUUGGGACCCGAAAGAUGGUGAACUAUGCCUGAAUAGGGUGAAGCCAGAGGAAACUCUGGUGGAGGCUCGCAGCGGUUCUGACGUGCAAAUCGAUCGUCAAAUUUGGGUAUAGGGGCGAAAGACUAAUCGAACCAUCUAGUAGCU